Molecule: ribosomal RNA, 322 nt
Filed under: uncultured eukaryote
Lineage: Eukaryota
Description: partial 18S ribosomal RNA
Rfam family: Eukaryotic small subunit ribosomal RNA
Source: RNAcentral
CCCUUAGAUGUUCUGGGCUGCACGCGCGCUACACUGAAGGACUCAACGUGCUUGUCUCCUUGGCCGUCAGGUCUGGGUAACCCGUUGAACCUCCUUCGUGCUAGGGAUUGGGGCUUGUAAUUAUUCCCCAUGAACGAGGAAUUCCUAGUAAACGCAAGUCAUCAGCUUGCAUUGAUUACGUCCCUGCCCUUUGUACACACCGCCCGUCGCACCUACCGAUUGAAUGGUCCGGUGAAAUCUCGGGACGGCGGCUUGGUCGCUUGCGUCCGACUGCUGAAACUUGAUUAAACCAUAUCAUUUAGAGGAAGGUGAAGUCGUAACA